AACCCGGUGUUUUUCAACACCACCACACAGUUCAUAGAGCCAGGUC
Molecule: non-coding RNA, 46 nt
Organism: Gonium pectorale
Lineage: Eukaryota; Viridiplantae; Chlorophyta; Chlorophyceae; Chlamydomonadales; Volvocaceae
Source: Rfam